Long non-coding RNA from Zalophus californianus (California sea lion), 327 nucleotides. RefSeq lists it as uncharacterized. NCBI's taxonomy places the organism in Eukaryota, Metazoa, Chordata, Mammalia, Carnivora, Otariidae. The transcript has 3 exons. The record is from RefSeq and is a predicted model, not a curated record.
GGACUAAUAAGUAGUGUGUGUGGUUAGAGCGAGUCCUCUCCGGGGCCUGCUUUGGACAUGGCUGGGCCACCGGCAGUCCUACUGGGCCUUUGCUUCCCCCACAAAUUAAAUAUGCUACAAGGGUGGCACCGAGGGAGACCUAUUCAUGAUGGUUUCUUCCUCCUGCUCUUCCCUUGCUCAAGCAAACACCUACCAGAAGAGACCAGGAGAAAUGAACCUCCCACUCUCUUUCUUCAGCUGAAGUAUUUGAGAAGAAAAUUUGUGAGCUGAGACUGAGAAUGCUUUUCUUCCAAUAACCACUGAUGAGAGUUUUAUAAAACAACAGGU